GGGCCCGCACAAGCGGAGGAACAUGUGGUUUAAUUCGAUGAUACGCGAGGAACCUUACCCGGGCUUGAAUUGCAGAGGAAUUUAUCAGAGAUGGUAAAGCCCUUCGGGGUCUCUGUGAAGGUGCUGCAUGGUUGUCGUCAGCUCGUGCCGUGAGGUGUCGGCUUAAGUGCCAUAACGAGCGCAACCCCUUUCCUUAGUUGCCAUCAGGUCAUGCUGGGCACUCUGGGGAUACUGCCACCGUAAGGUGUGAGGAAGGUGGGGAUGACGUCAAAUCAGCACGGCCCUUACGUCCGGGGCUACACACGUGUUACAAUGGCCGGUACAGAGAGACGGUUGCUUGCAAAAGUAAUCAAAUCCUUAAAACCGGUCCCAGUUCGGACUGGGGUCUGCAACUCGACCCCACGAAGCUGGAUUCGCUAGUAAUCGCGCAUCAGCCAUGGCGCGGUGAAUACGUUCCCGGGCCUUGUACACACCGCCCGUCAAGCCAUGAAAGCCGGGGGUGCCUGAAGUCCGUGACCGCAAGGAACGGCCUAGGGCAAAACUGGUAAUUGGGGCUAAGUCGUAACAAGGUAGCCGUACCGGAAGGUGCGGCU
Molecule: ribosomal RNA, 593 nt
Filed under: uncultured Prevotella sp.
Lineage: Bacteria; Pseudomonadati; Bacteroidota; Bacteroidia; Bacteroidales; Prevotellaceae
Description: bacterial SSU rRNA
Rfam family: Bacterial small subunit ribosomal RNA
Source: RNAcentral